CAAAUAUAUAUGUAAAGAAAAAAUAUUAUUUUCUUUACUUUAAAUAUUCCCUAUAUUUAUAAUUUAUAUAGACAACAUAGGAAACCUUUUUUAUUCGGUUUGUUAUAUCUGGUUGAUAGAUAAGAUUGUCUAGCUGUCACGACGAAACAAUUAUUGAUUAAUAUUUAAAAGAUAGUUAUUUAAGAAAUUAUUUGUGAUUUUGGAUUCGACACUGGAAUUAAUAACAUUAAAUGUCGUUUCUUUUAUUACAGAGAAACUCAAUUGUGUUUUAAUUGAUUGUGUCGUCUAAAUCACAAGAAAAUUUUAUCUUACAAAACGACAUUUCUUGUCAAAAAA
This 336-nucleotide unclassified non-coding RNA is filed under the name Melitaea cinxia (Glanville fritillary). Its description in RNAcentral is "misc RNA ENSMCXG00005000771.1". Lineage: Eukaryota; Metazoa; Arthropoda; Insecta; Lepidoptera; Nymphalidae. The record is from RNAcentral.